Molecule: long non-coding RNA, 2445 nt
Filed under: Citrus x clementina
Lineage: Eukaryota; Viridiplantae; Streptophyta; Magnoliopsida; Sapindales; Rutaceae
Description: Citrus clementina (C. clementina) long non-coding RNA (CCLE_LNC006359)
Source: RNAcentral
UUUGCGAGCAGCCUCCGUGUGCCAAAAUAGGCCACGGGCACAGCCGCACCCAAAAAUAACCGCCCGAAGGCCGGGGUGCAAGUUCGUCCAGCGGAAAAAGGCCACAAAAACGGGUGGGCUAUAGCCUUGGGGGGUGGGGCUGGCCAACUUCGUCCGCCGGACUCGGAAUGGCGCGAGACUUUGCGAGGCACCUCCGUGUGGCAAAAAUAGGCCGUGGGCAAAGCCGUGUCCAAAAAUAACCACCCGAAGGCCGGGGCGCCAAGUUCGUCCAGCGGAAAAAGCCGACAAAAACGGGUGGGCUAUAGCCUUGGGGGGUGGGGCUGGCCAACUUCGUCCGCCGGACUCGGAAUGGCGCGAGACUUUACGAGCGGCCUCCGUGUGCAAAAAAUAGGCCGUGGGCACAGCCACGCCCAAAAAUAACCGCCCGAAGGCCGGUGCGCCAAGUUCGUCCAGCGGAAAAAGGCCACAAAAACGGGUGGGCUAUAGCUUGGGGGGGUGGGGCUGGCCAACUUCGUCCGCCGGACUCGGAAUGGCGCGAGACUUUGCGAGACGCCUCCGUGUGCCAAAAAUAGGCCGCGGGCACAGCCGUCCCCAAAAAUAACCGCCCGAAGGCCGGGGCGCCAAGUUCGUCCAGCGGAAAAAGGCCACAAAAACGGGUGGGCUAUAGCCUUGGGGGCUGGGGCUGGCCAACUUCGUCCGCCGGACUCGGAAUGGCGCGAGACUUUGCGAGCCGCCUCCGUGUGCCAAAAAUAGGCCGCGGGCACAGCCGCACCCAAAAAUAACCGUCCGAAGGCCGGGGCGCCAAGUUCGUCCAGCGGAAAAAGGCCACAAAAACGGGUGGACUAUAGCCUUGGGGGCUGGGGCUGGCCAACUUCGUCCGCCGGACUCGGAAUGGCGCGAGAAUUUGCGGGCAGCCUACGUGUGCCAAAAAUAGGCCGCGGGCACAGCCGUACCCAAAAAUAACCGCCCGAAGGCUGGGGCGCAAGUUCGUCCAUCGGAAAAAGGCCACAAAAACGGGUGGGCUAUAGCCUUGGGGGGUGGGGCUGGCCAACUUCGUCCGCCGGACUCAGAAUGGCGCGAGACUUUGCGAGGCACCUCCGUGUGGCAAAAAUAGGCCGCGGGCACAGCCGUGUCCAAAAAUAACCACCCGAAGGCCGGGGCGCCAAGUUCGUCCAGCGGAAAAAGCCGACAAAAACGGGUGGGCUAUAGCCUUGGGGGGUGGGGUUGGCCAACUUCGUCCGCCGGACUCGGAAUGGCGCGAGACUUUGCGAGGUGCCUCCGUGUGCCAAAAAUAGGCCGCGGGCACAGCCGCGCCCAAAAAUAACCGCCCGAAGGCCGUGGAGCCAAGUUCGUCCAGCGGAUAAAGGCCACAAAAACGGGUGGGCUAUAGCCUUGGGGGGUGGGGCUGGCCAACUUCGUCCGCCGGACUCGGAAUGGUGCGAGUCUUUGCGAGGUGCCUCCAUGUGGCAAAAAUAGGCCGCGGCUACAGCCGCGCCCAAAAUUAACCACCCAAAGGCCGGGGCGCCAAGUUCAUCCAGCGGAAAAAGGACACAAAAACGGGUGGGCUAUAGCCUCGGGGGGUGGGGCUGGCCCACUUCGUCCGCCGGACUCGGAAUGGCGCGAGACUUUGCGAGGCCACGGGCACAGCUGCGCCCAAAAAUAACCGCCCGAAGGCCGGGGCGCCAAGUUCGUCCAGCGGAAAAAGGCCACAAAAACGGGUGGGCUAUAGCCUUGGGGGAUGGGGCUGGCCAACUUCGUCCGCCGGACUCGGAAUGGCGCGAGAAUUUGCAAGCGGCCUCCGUGUGCCAAAAAUAGGCCGCGGGCACAGCCGCACCCUAAAAUAACCGCCCAAAGGCCGGGGUGCCAAGUUCGUCCAGCGGAAGAAGGACACAAAAACGGGUGGGCUAUAGCCCUGGGGGGUGGGGAUGGCCUACUUCGUCCGCCGGACUCGGAAUGGCGCGAGACUUUGCGAGCGGCCUCCGUGUGCCAAACAAUAGGCCGCGGGCACAGCCACUCCCAAAAACAACCGUCCGAAGGCCGAUACGCCAAGUUCAUCCAGCGGAAAAAGGCCACAAAAACGGGUGGGCUAUAGCCUUGGGGGGUGGGCUGGCCAACUUCGUCUGCCGGACUCGGAAUGGCGCGAGACUUUGCGAGGCACCUCCAUGUGCCAAAAAUAGGCCACGGGCACAGCUGCGCCCAAAAAUAACCACCCGAAGGCCGGGGCGCCAAGUUCGUCCAGCGGAAGAAGGCCACAAAAACGGGUGGGCUAUAGCCCUGGGGGGUGGGGAUGGCCUACUUCGUCCGCCGGACUCGGAAUGGCGCGAGACUUUGCGAGCGGACUCCGUGUGCCAAACAAUAGGCCGUGGGCACAGCCGCUCCCAAAAAUAACCGCCCGACGGCCGGGGCGCCAAGUUCGUUCCGCGGAAAAAGGCCACAAAAACGGGU